RNAcentral lists this ribosomal RNA (1022 nucleotides) under Paramesotriton fuzhongensis (Wanggao warty newt). RNAcentral's name for it is "partial 16S ribosomal RNA". The stretch from base 157 to 1005 matches the Rfam family "Bacterial large subunit ribosomal RNA", at positions 573 to 2043 of the family's 2925-position model. Lineage: Eukaryota; Metazoa; Chordata; Amphibia; Caudata; Salamandridae. The record is from RNAcentral.
CUAAAAUUCUAGCCAGUUAACCCUAACUACCAAAAAACAAAACAAACCAUUUAAUCUAAUAGUAUGGGCGAUAGAAAUUUAUUAUGCGCAAUAAAAAAGUACCGCAGGGGAAAGAUGAAAUAAAAAUGAAAUAAAUAAUAAAACAAAGAAAAGAAAAGACUAAACCCUAUACCUUUUGCAUAAUGGUCUAGUAAGUCCAACCUAACAAAAAGAAAUAAAGUUAGCCACCCCGAAACUAGACGAGCUACUCAAAAGCAGCAUUAACCAGGGCCAACCCGUCUCUGUGGCAAAAGAGUGGGACGACUUUUAAGUAGAGGUGAAAAGCCUAACGAGCCUAGUGAUAGCUGGUUGCUUGAGAAAUGAAUAUUAGUUCAGCUUAAAGUACUUUCAACUAAUGAAAAAAUAAAAAUAGCACUUUAAAGUUAAUUAAUAGGGGUACAGCCCUAUUAAUAAAGGACACAACCUACAUAAUGAAUAAAGAUUAUAUUAACAAAAGAAACUAACCAUGUAGGCCUAAAAGCAGCCACCAUAAGAAAGCGUCAAAGCUCAACUUAACUAAUCCCCUUAUUAUACCAAUAAAAAAAUCUAAAUUCACAAAUAUAUCAAGCCUAUCUACUAGUAGAUGAGUUUAUACUAGAAUGAGUAACAAGAACAAAUUCUAUACAUGCAAGCGUAAAUCAGGGCGAAAAAAUCACUGAUAAUUAACAAUUUUAAAUACUAAACAACAAGAAAGGCACAUUAAAGUAAUUGUUAACCCAACACAGGAGCAUCAAAAAAGAUUUAAAGAUUAAAAAGGAACUCGGCAACCAAGAGCUCCGCCUGUUUACCAAAAACAUCGCCUCUUGCCCUCCAAGUAUAAGAGGUCCCGCCUGCCCAGUGAUUAAUUUUAACGGCCGCGGUAUCAUGACCGUGCAAAGGUAGCGUAAUCACUUGUCUUUUAAAUAAAGACCUGUAUGAAAGGCAAAACGAAAGCUCAACUGUCUCUUUAAUCUAAUCAGUGAAAUUAAUCUCUCCGUGCAGAA